RNAcentral lists this ribosomal RNA (300 nucleotides) under uncultured bacterium. Its description in RNAcentral is "bacterial SSU rRNA". It matches the Rfam family "Bacterial small subunit ribosomal RNA", at positions 28 to 329 of the family's 1533-position model. The record is from RNAcentral.
GACGAACGCUGGCGGCGUGCUUAACACAUGCAAGUCGAGCGGUAAGGCCCUUUCGGGGGUACACGAGCGGCGAACGGGUGAGUAACACGUGGGUGACCUGCCCUCAGCUCUGGGAUAAGCCUGGGAAACGUGGGUCUAAUACUGGAUAUGACUCCACGGUGCAUGUCGUGGGGUGGAAAGCCUUGUGCGGCUGAGGAUGGGCCCGCGGCCUAUCAGCUUGUUGGUGGGGUGAGGCCUACCAAGGCGACGACGGGUAGCCGGCCUGAGAGGGCGACCGGCCACACUGGGACUGAGACACGG